Molecule: long non-coding RNA, 1210 nt
Filed under: Sparus aurata (gilthead seabream)
Lineage: Eukaryota; Metazoa; Chordata; Actinopteri; Spariformes; Sparidae
Description: lncRNA (ENSSAUG00010007257.1)
Source: RNAcentral
AUGGAGCAGGGGGAUCCCGAGGAGCCAUUUAAUCAUCGGAUCUACUUCCUUGCCGCCAUGCUUGAUCCCCAGUUUGGUUUGAGCUGGGUAGAUUUAGAUGUCCAUAAUAGGGAAUCCGGUCCAGCACUGAAGAGGUUCAGAGACGACCUUAAGAAAUCAUUAACAGACCUUUUGAUCAGAGAGUUAGACCAGGAUGCAACUGCUGCACCUCUAGCAGAAGAUGCAGAAGAUGCAGGAGAAUUGUGCCGUGACUCACCGCCACCCCUGAAACAACAGCGUCUUCUUUCACACUACAAUGCGUCUAAGAUGCAGCACAGCACAACCCGGGACUCGAGCAUUACUGCACAAAUAAGCAAGUACCUGGACAACAUGAAUGACUAUGACUGUGAUGCACUGACCUUUUGGUCAAAAACCAAGAGCAUUUCCCUCAACUACACAAUGUCGCCUUAAAAGUCCUCUCCGUCCCUGCCUCUUCUGCCCCAGUAGAGAGAGUUUUUAGCAGAAGAGGCAUUCUAAUGAGACCCCACAGAGCACGGCUAGGCCAUAAGAAGCUGCAGUGUUUAGUGUUCUUGAAGUGCAAUCAACGACAGCUUUAACAUGUGAACUCACAUACAUCAAGUAAACACACUCAUACUACUGACAUGCUUACACUCCCCAGCACACACUCACAAAACUACAGACACACAAAUGGUUUCACACAGAAAGCUACAAAAAAGACACAUACACAGAGGACACACUCACUCAACACACAAAUGGGUGCAUGAUACAGUAUGCCUUUCGUUCUACAGUUUUAAUGUAUUAGUUUAUGUAUCUGUUCUUUGUUUGUGAUGUCUGUGUUCUAUUGUUCUUGUCCCACUGAACUACAGGCUUCAUAUAUAUAAGUGUGUUAUAAUUGAGAUGCCAUUACACACAUCAAGGUGACAGAAUCUUGUGAUCACUAGUUCUUCCUCUUGCUAAUGUACAAUUUGAAGUACAGUUUUGUAAACUAUUUGUAUUUUGCAUUUGAUUUAAUGCAUUUUUUGGUGCACCUGCGUGUGUGUCUAUGUAUUUAAUUACAGUAUUGUGCUUAUAAUGGCCUUGUUUGAAUAAAUAUAUGGCAUCAUUGGCCUUUGAAUAAUAUAUGCUUAUCGUUGUGAUUGAUUUAGCAUUAGGCCUAUGCCAUUUCAGUGAUGCUGAUAUUAUACAGUGUAAUUUGGCUACUAUAAUGGGA